GUCUUGGUCAUUUAGAGGAAGUAAAAGUCGUAACAAGGUCUCCGUAGGUGAACCUGCGGAGGGAUCAUUACAAGUGACCCCGGUUUACCACCGGGAUGUUCAUAACCCUUUGUUGUCCGACUCUGUUGCCUCCGGGGCGACCCUGCCUUCGGGCGGGGGCUCCGGGUGGACACUUCAAACUCUUGCGUAACUUUGCAGUCUGAGUAAACUUAAUUAAUAAAUUAAAACUUUUAACAACGGAUCUCUUGGUUCUGGCAUCGAUGAAGAACGCAGCGAAAUGCGAUAAGUAAUGUGAAUUGCAGAAUUCAGUGAAUCAUCGAAUCUUUGAACGCACAUUGCGCCCCCUGGUAUUCCGGGGGGCAUGCCUGUUCGAGCGUCAUUUCACCACUCAAGCCUCGCUUGGUAUUGGGCAACGCGGUCCGCCGCGUGCCUCAAAUCGACCGGCUGGGUCUUCUGUCCCCUAAGCGUUGUGGAAACUAUUCGCUAAAGGGUGUUCGGGAGGCUACGCCGUAAA
This 514-nucleotide ribosomal RNA is filed under the name dothideomycete sp. 7668. RNAcentral describes it as "eukaryotic LSU rRNA". The stretch from base 226 to 379 matches the Rfam family "5.8S ribosomal RNA". The record is from RNAcentral. Lineage: Eukaryota; Fungi; Ascomycota; Dothideomycetes.